CACCUCUCAGGGUCGCACCUGGAGAGUUUCCAGUCCUCUACCAGUCUUGGAUACAGGAGGGAGCGUCAAGCAGAGGCCUACCCAUUCCAUUCCUAGAUUGGGCAGUGGCUAGCGAGUGGAAGGCAAUCUGCUACAGAC
Molecule: small nucleolar RNA, 138 nt
Organism: Tachyglossus aculeatus (Australian echidna)
Lineage: Eukaryota; Metazoa; Chordata; Mammalia; Monotremata; Tachyglossidae
Source: RefSeq, a predicted model, not a curated record